This is a long non-coding RNA of Mauremys mutica (yellowpond turtle), 537 nucleotides long. RefSeq lists it as uncharacterized. The record is from RefSeq and is a predicted model, not a curated record. The transcript is spliced from 4 exons. NCBI's taxonomy places the organism in Eukaryota, Metazoa, Chordata, Testudines, Geoemydidae.
GCCCAGAAGACAUCAGAGAGAAGUGGAUGGGGGAGUAGAAAAUUGCAGCUCCCUGCAUUGACUCUUAGAAGAUUUCUCAGGUGUCCACAUUUCUAUGGAUGGUCCAUAGUUGUGCUUCACAGCAUCUUCACCCAACAGCCCCAGGAGAUCCAGUACUUCCAGGGUAGUCCAGGCAGGAGCGCAUCCAGUAUCUCUCGGUGUGCGUGGUGCCAGCAUGGUUGGUGGGGCGCCGGCUGCACUCAACAAAGUUUUAGGUGUAAACCAGACCAGAGUGAGUGUGGGAAGUAACCACACCUGCACCAACAUGUGCACGUGAGCAUGGGGAUGGACCACACCUACAUCAAUGUCUGCGAGUGAGCAUGGGGACUGACCAUGCCCAAAUGGACGUGUGCAGAAGCCAUUGAUGAUUUGAAGGCACAAGGAAAUGUAACAGUCCUCUGCACUGUUAUGCCCUCUUCCAACUGAGAUUCUCAAAGCACUUUACAAACAUAAAUCAGUUGCUUAUAACUUUACCCAACUCUGAGUGUUCAGGCUAAA